UCCUACGGGAGGCAGCAGUAGGGAAUCUUCCGCAAUGGACGAAAGUCUGACGGAGCAACGCCGCGUGAGUGAUGAAGGCUUUCGGGUCGUAAAACUCUGUUGUUAGGGAAGAACAAGUGCUAGUUGAAUAAGCUGGCACCUUGACGGUACCUAACCAGAAAGCCACGGCUAACUACGUGCCAGCAGCCGCGGUAAUACGUAGGUGGCAAGCGUUAUCCGGAAUUAUUGGGCGUAAAGCGCGCGCAGGUGGUUUCUUAAGUCUGAUGUGAAAGCCCACGGCUCAACCGUGGAGGGUCAUUGGAAACUGGGAGACUUGAGUGCAGAAGAGGAAAGUGGAAUUCCAUGUGUAGCGGUGAAAUGCGUAGAGAUAUGGAGGAACACCAGUGGCGAAGGCGACUCUCUGGUCUGUAACUGACGCUGAGGAGCGAAAGCGUGGGGAGCGAACAGGAUUAGAUACCCUGGUAGUCCACGCCGUAAACGAUGAGUGCUAAGUGUUAGGGGGUUUCCGCCCCUUAGUGCUGCAGCUAACGCAUUAAGCACUCCGCCUGGGGAGUACGGUCGCAAGACUGAAACUCAAAGGAAUUGACGGA
This 590-nucleotide ribosomal RNA is filed under the name uncultured bacterium. RNAcentral describes it as "bacterial SSU rRNA". It matches the Rfam family "Bacterial small subunit ribosomal RNA", at positions 337 to 917 of the family's 1533-position model. The record is from RNAcentral.